Molecule: ribosomal RNA, 448 nt
Filed under: uncultured Escherichia sp.
Lineage: Bacteria; Pseudomonadati; Pseudomonadota; Gammaproteobacteria; Enterobacterales; Enterobacteriaceae
Description: bacterial SSU rRNA
Rfam family: Bacterial small subunit ribosomal RNA
Source: RNAcentral
AUUGAACGCUGGCGGCAGGCCUAACACAUGCAAGUCGAACGGUAACAGGAAGCAGCUUGCUGCUUUGCUGACGAGUGGCGGACGGGUGAGUAAUGUCUGGGAAACUGCCCGAUGGAGGGGGAUAACUACUGGAAACGGUAGCUAAUACCGCAUAACGUCGCAAGACCAAAGAGGGGGACCUUAGGGCCUCUUGCCAUCGGAUGUGCCCAGAUGGGAUUAGCUAGUAGGUGGGGUAACGGCUCACCUAGGCGACGAUCCCUAGCUGGUCUGAGAGGAUGACCAGCCACACUGGAACUGAGACACGGUCCAGACUCCUACGGGAGGCAGCAGUGGGGAAUAUUGCACAAUGGGCGCAAGCCUGAUGCAGCCAUGCCGCGUGUAUGAAGAAGGCCUUCGGGUUGUAAAGUACUUUCAGCGGGGAGGAAGGGAGUAAAGUUAAUACCUUUGC